Molecule: transfer RNA, 69 nt
Filed under: Sicista betulina (Northern birch mouse)
Lineage: Eukaryota; Metazoa; Chordata; Mammalia; Rodentia; Dipodidae
Also listed under: 1 other name
Description: tRNA-Trp
Source: RNAcentral
AGGGGUUUAGGUUAUACCAGACCAAGGACCUUCAAAGCCCUAAGAAAGUAAUCUAUACUUAAUCCCUGU